Molecule: long non-coding RNA, 1508 nt
Organism: Lineus longissimus
Lineage: Eukaryota; Metazoa; Nemertea; Pilidiophora; Heteronemertea; Lineidae
Exons: 3
Source: RefSeq, a predicted model, not a curated record
AAAGAGAAACCACACUGAUUUCUUAAUAUCAAGCAAUUAAUUUUGUGUCCGGCAGGAAGGAAUGGUUCAGACAUAGAAUUAACCUGUCGUUAGGGAAGUGAAAGUAUAUCGAUUGGUUUCAAUUGUGUGUUUUUCAAUGUAACUUCGAUUUGGAAUCAACUUAUCAGGAAUAAAAUGCUUUUUGGAUAAGACUGGAAGGCAUAACAGCAAUCAUCGCAACUUCUCGGUGACGCAAGUGCUUUUUAGAACAAAUGUGCAAGGUUGUAAUGUAUCAGUGGCUUCAAGUGGUAAUUGAUGAUGCUGACUUAAUCCAAUUUACUAUGCUGUGCAUGAUUCAUUAGUUUGUUAACAUAAUUUUGUAGUUUUUUCAAGAAGAGCCGGAGAGACAUUUCCUAUCAUCACUGGAGUGCUGAGCAGUAAGCUUUCCAAUGGGAGAAGGAUUUAACCGCUAACUCAGGAAAUUGUUUGAAGUGGGAUUGCGGAAUCUCAUUUUGGGUAUUAUUUCGUGACAAUGAAUGUGCAGCUGGGAACUAUCUGUAUUGAGACCAUUCCGUCUGGUUCUUCAAGAGGAUUUCAAUGAACAAUCUGUAUAGAAUUGUUGACGAGAGAAGGGAUUUGGGAACAGUACACGAAGAUACCCUUGCGAACUUAGUAAACUGUAUCGGAUAGAUUACUGCAGAUAGCAGAGAUACCACCAGGUGGGUUCCACACAGAAAGAGAGAUUGGAAAAAUAGGAAUGAGGAUGGUCAAUAGCCAAAUUUACUGCGGCCAAUGAGUUUUCCAGAUUUAGGAGCAAUUCCAACAGAUCCUCGCGUUGUGAGUGAAAUGAACUGGAUAUCGAAUGAUAUGAAUACUGAGGAAUAGUCAUAUCAGCUUGAAGAUUAGUUUUUGUGUUGGUAGCAAGCAUAAACAACCUCCAGACACCGAAUUUGCCCCAGAAUGGAUUAACAGUUGUUUUAGUAGAAUCAACGACGAACUGCUAAGGUCCUACUGAAAUUCAGGGAAUACUUCUGGACACAAUGCACUCGGUACUUCAAUUGGGCACUAACUCAAUAUAUGACAAUUCGGAGUAAUUUACGGGGAGAUUCUAGCGAACACAAAAAAAUGGGAGAAAUAAUGUAUCAAGCAGCAGAACUGGAGGUGAAAAUGUUUCCAAAUGGGACAAUAAUCAACAUGACACGAAAGAGUAAUAUUACACUCUUUGAAGAUGUGCCAGAUUCAGAGCCGGACUUUUUUGCUCAUCCUAUCAUGGUCAUACGGCUUGUGCUCUGUACACUGUCCAUUCUCCUGAAUUCACUUUCUUUAUUUGUGGUGGCCAAUAUCAACGGGACGUACACGACGCAUCUCCGCCUUAUUAUGAGUUUGUGCAUAUCGGACACAUUAGUUAGCAUUGGGACUCUCGCCAAUAUGAUCAUGGAGUCUCACUUCUACAACGUGUGUUUCGAACGUGUCCUUAAUGCCACCAGCAGUACUGCCUUCGUAGUUUCCUUACUGAAUCUUAUGUGUAU